Molecule: ribosomal RNA, 465 nt
Filed under: uncultured bacterium
Lineage: Bacteria
Description: bacterial SSU rRNA
Rfam family: Bacterial small subunit ribosomal RNA
Source: RNAcentral
CCUACGGGUCGCAGCAGUGGGGAAUAUUGCACAAUGGGCGCAAGCCUGAUGCAGCCAUGCCGCGUGUAUGAAGAAGGCCUUCGGGUUGUAAAGUACUUUCAGCGGGGAGGAAGGCGAUAAGGUUAAUAACCUUGUCGAUUAACGUUUCCCGCAGAAGAAGCACCGGCUAACUCCGUGCCAGCAGCCGCGGUAAUACGGAGGGUGCAAGCGUUAAUCGGAAUUACUGGGCGUAAAGCGCACGCAGGCGGUCUGUCAAGUCGGAUGUGAAAUCCCCGGGCUCAACCUGGGAACUGCAUUCGAAACUGGCAGGCUAGAGUCUUGUAGAGGGGGGUAGAAUUCCAGGUGUAGCGGUGAAAUGCGUAGAGAUCUGGAGGAAUACCGGUGGCGAAGGCGGCCCCCUGGACGAAGACUGACGCUCAGGUGCGAAAGCGUGGGGAGCAAACAGGAUUAGAUACCCCGGUAGUC